This 272-nucleotide ribosomal RNA is filed under the name uncultured Staphylococcus sp. RNAcentral describes it as "partial 16S ribosomal RNA". It matches the Rfam family "Bacterial small subunit ribosomal RNA", at positions 90 to 356 of the family's 1533-position model. Lineage: Bacteria; Bacillati; Bacillota; Bacilli; Caryophanales; Staphylococcaceae. The record is from RNAcentral.
CGUUAGCGGCGGACGGGUGAGUAACACGUGGGUAACCUACCUAUAAGACUGGGACAACUUCGGGAAACCGGAGCUAAUACCGGAUAAGAUAUCGAACCGCAUGGUUCGAUAGUGAAAGAUGGUUUUGCUAUCACUUAUAGAUGGACCCGCGCCGUAUUAGCUAGUUGGUGAGGUAACGGCUCACCAAGGCAACGAUACGUAGCCGACCUGAGGGGGUGAUCGGCCACACUGGAACUGAGACACGGUCCAGACUCCUACGGGAGGCAGCAGCG